RNAcentral lists this unclassified non-coding RNA (230 nucleotides) under uncultured Agaricales. RNAcentral's name for it is "sequence contains ITS1". The record is from RNAcentral. Lineage: Eukaryota; Fungi; Basidiomycota; Agaricomycetes; Agaricales.
UUGAAUUAAACUUGGUGUCGGUUGCAGCUGGCCCUUCUUGGGCAUGUGCUCGCCUUCAUCAUCUUUAUAUUUCCACCUGUGCACCUUUUGUAGACAAGGAAGAAAAAUAAAGGAGUAUUAUUAUGGUAUUCCCUUAUGUAUUAUUUCUUGUCUAUGAUUUUAUUAUACUCCUGAAAAUGUUAAGGAAUGUUAAUAAAAUGGGCCUUUGCGCCUAUAAUCUUAAAAAAAUA